This is a long non-coding RNA of Penaeus chinensis, 850 nucleotides long. RefSeq lists it as uncharacterized. The record is from RefSeq and is a predicted model, not a curated record. The transcript is spliced from 5 exons. NCBI's taxonomy places the organism in Eukaryota, Metazoa, Arthropoda, Malacostraca, Decapoda, Penaeidae.
UUAACCUUCUGCUCAGGAAACAGGUCAUUCCUGCUUUGCAUAUCAAAAAACUCGAGUUUACCUGCAACCAUGAACACAUUCCUUCUGCUCCUGUUGCUGCUGGUCGCUCUUGCCGGCAUCACCACGGCCUUGCCUCAGCGGGUCGUGCUCACCAAGAAGCGUUUCCCCGGAGAGAGGACCCUGGGGAGGACCAACUACGGGCAACACAGCUUCGGCAGGAGAGGGUACAAGAAGAAGUCUAACCCUAGAAAACGGGACUGAAAAUAGAUACAGCCUUGAAUCAGCUUUGAGGUUAACAAGCUCUUUUUUGGAGAUGAAGAAGAAAAGAAAAAAACAACAAAAUCCUGGAAGUAACUGAUGUCUACCACGCUAUCAACCUACUCUCAAGGGACGAAGAUUUUUCUUGCCUUAGUAUACGCAAAUAAUCAGACACAAAACAACACACACUACAACCUAUCUGUACAAAAAGUGGUGAACUAGACGUCAAAGUGUAUAGUAUACUUGCAGACAAAGUAACAUUAUAGUUAGCUGUCUUGGGGUGUUCAAUAGUGUAUACUUCUUACAAGACUAAAUACAUAAUGGUUAGUUAUCCUUAGGUAUCAGGUGUUACAGUAUUUCAUGUCUUAUAGUGAUGUAUGUUUGUAAUACAAUUUGUGAUAUAAUCUUUGUAAUAUAGUUUGUAUAUUUUGUGAGAGUACCUGUGAUAGUUUGUAUAAUUUGUGAUUUCGUCGUGAUAGUGAUAUUUUUAUGCCAAAUACUACAUUGUGAUUAUUAACCAUAAAAACAAUAACAUAUGUGUAUUUAUUUUGUACAUUUCCAUUGUGUUCCUGCAAUAAAUGAAUACUGUAUA